Molecule: ribosomal RNA, 468 nt
Filed under: uncultured bacterium
Lineage: Bacteria
Description: partial 16S ribosomal RNA
Rfam family: Bacterial small subunit ribosomal RNA
Source: RNAcentral
GACGAACGCUGGCGGCGUGCUUAACACAUGCAAGUCGAACGGAAAGGCCCUGCUUUUGCGGGGUGCUCGAGUGGCGAACGGGUGAGUAACACGUGAGUAACAUGCACUUGACUUUGGGAUAACUUCUGGAAACUCGGGCUAAUACCGGAUAGGAGCUUCUGCUGCAUGGUGGGCGAUGGAGAGUUUCGGCGGUUGGGGAUGUGCUCGCGGCUUAUCAGCUUGUUGGUGGGGUUGUGGCUUACCAAGGCUUUGAAGGGUAGCCGGCCUGAGCGGGUGACCGGCCACACUGGGACUGAGGGGCGGCCGAGGCAGCUACUCGAGGCAGCAGGGGGGAAGAUUGCAGGAGGGGCGGAAGGCGGGUGCAGCAGCGCCGCGGGCGGGAAGACUGUCUUCUUGGUGUAGACCGUAUGUGCAUGUAACGGAGCGUAUGUGGCGGUAAUGUGUAAAGAAGCACCGGCUAACUACGUG